CACGUAGGAGGCAAACGUUAUCCGGAUUUACUGGGCGUAAAGCGCGUGUAGGUGGUUCUGUAAGUAGGGCGUGAAAGCUUCCGGCUCAACUGGGAGAGGCCGUUCUAAACUGCAGAGCUAGAGGAUGGUAGAGGGAGGUGGAAUUCCAGGUGUAGCGGUGGAAUGCGCAGAUAUCUGGAGGAACACCAGUGGCGAAGGCGGCCUCCUGGACCAUUCCUAACACUCAGACGCGAAAGCUAGGGUAGCAAACGGGAUUAGAUACCCGUGUAGUCCCUGA
Molecule: ribosomal RNA, 277 nt
Filed under: uncultured prokaryote
Description: partial 16S ribosomal RNA
Rfam family: Bacterial small subunit ribosomal RNA
Source: RNAcentral